GAAUUACUGUUACUAAUGAUGUGAGUAUAAAUGCACUUUUUGAACUCUAUUACGAUUAUUUAAGAACAACUCUAUAAUGAAUAAUGUAAUAAUAAUGGUACAUACUUAUAUAUUAUAUGAUUAAUUGUACCUAAUUAAACUUUUCUGUUAUUAUUCAACAGAUUGAAGAGAAUACAAAAGGACUCUCAUCAUUAAACUACUCUUUUAGUGGAAGUACUAGUAGCUUAGAAAGCAUUCGAUCGCCUACAAUGGAAAUUAACCGCAAAGCUGAUGGGGCUAAAAAAACUUUGUUGAAAUGGGUCGGCAAUGUGAUACCCAAGUAUGCAUCUAUUGGAUAAUAUUUUAUUAAAUUAUUAUAUUAAGUUAAUAAUAUUAUUUUAACUUAGGGAAAGUAAUAUAAAAGUUAAAGAUUUUGGACCAAGUUGGAGAGAUGGUAUAGCUUUCCUCACUAUCAUAGAUACUAUACAAACUAAUUUAGUUGACAUAAGAACUUUGAGAAAUGAAACUAACCGUACUAGAUUAGAAACUGCAUUUAACGUUGCUGAAAACAAUUUAGGAAUCACUCGCUUGUUGGAUCCUGAAGUAUGUUUUAAAUGAAAUGGUUAUUAAUUUGUCUUAAAUUAAAAUUGUUGUUUUAAUUAUUUUAAAUGUAUUUUUAGGAUGUUGAUGUAGAUCGACCAGAUGAAAGAUCUGUUAUGACUUAUGUAGCGCAAUUUGUUCAUAAAUAUCCUGAAAUUCGGAGUGAUGGUGGAGAAUCAAUUGAUAAAAUACAAAAAGAUUAUAAUCUACUUUUAGCGUGGUUAUCAGAAAAAACACAAUUUUUAUCUUGGCCACAGAAUUUAUCUCAAGAUUUUUCGGUUAAAAUAAUAAAUGUUUAUUAUAAAACAGUUAUUUAUUAGGAAUUAUUUUUAGGAAUUUUCAAAAGCUCAAGAAGAAGUCACAGCUAUGAGUAGUUUGUACAACAAAUUAAAGAAAAUACAUAAUUCUGGUUCAUCAAUUAAUAUUUCAGUACAAUCAUGGAAAGAAUUGGAAAGGCUUUGGGCACAAUUAGAAUCUUUAGUAAUAUAUAAUUUACCUAUAAAUUUAAAAAAACAUGAAUUUUUAAUUUUUAAAAACAAAAUUAUUAUAAAAUGUUCUUACAGAUGAAAAAUUGGCAAUGGCAGAUUGAUCUCUGUUUGCCAGAGCCAUUUAAAGUGAUUGGAGAAUGGAUAAUUAAAGCCGAGCAGCUCAUAACUGAUACUAAUAUUCCAUUAUUAAUGAAUGAAGACACUGCAGUGAUAAUCAGCAGAAAAUUAGAAGACCACAAGGUAGGGAUUCUAUAUAGAUUAAAUUCAAAAGAGUAUUAAUUUUAAUAAUACUGUUUUACAGUCAUUUUUUUCUGAUUUACCUGAAGUUAAACAAAAAUUUAAUGAGCUGUUAAUAAAAACAAAAAGCCAAAAUAAAGAAGUGAUUGAUUUAUCUAGACGUCUUAAUGCUAUUGAAAUAGAUUCACAUAAGCGGAGAACUUAUUUAAAAUUUUUAGAACACAAGGUAAAUUUUUUGCAUUUAUUCAAACUAAUUAUUAGUAAAAUAAUAUUUUAGAAAUACAAAAACCUUAAAUUAAAAUUCAACGCAAGUAUAUAACAACUUAUAUGGACUGAAAUGAAACUAAAAGCAUGGAUCAUUAGGGUAGAAAUUAAAACAUAUAUUUUUUUUUUAGUGUUGUUUAAUUGCAUUUUUGAAUUUAACUGAAAACAAAUUAAAAGCAUGGACUGUUAAAUAUGGCCAUCAACAAGAUGUUUUGCAGCUUCUCGAGAAAUACAAUAAUUUCGUUGUAGGGAAUAAUAUAUUCCAAGAAUUUAAUAAAGCAUUUAUAGAUAUGCAAAAUGUUGUACAAGAGUAUAAACAUGAAUGCAAUGUAGAGUAUAAAGAAUCAGUUUCUAUUGAAAAAUUUAUGAAACAAACUGCUGAACAAUGGAAAAGUAUUGCAAUGGAAUUAAGAUGUGCCCAGAGUAUGCUUGAGGAAGUAAUUUCAUAUUGGAGAAGAUGGAAGGCAUUAUCUCAAGAUAUAAAAAUGUGGUUAGCAGAUGCUGUUAAAAAAAUUAAUUUACCACAUGAACAACGAAUCAAUUUUUUCC
Molecule: long non-coding RNA, 2117 nt
Filed under: Cinara cedri
Lineage: Eukaryota; Metazoa; Arthropoda; Insecta; Hemiptera; Aphididae
Source: RNAcentral